This is a non-coding RNA of Ictidomys tridecemlineatus (thirteen-lined ground squirrel), 784 nucleotides long. The record is from RefSeq and is a predicted model, not a curated record. Lineage: Eukaryota; Metazoa; Chordata; Mammalia; Rodentia; Sciuridae.
AACAGCAUUGGACAGAGAGAUCAGAAAUGGUCCACUGGCUUGGGCAUGUAAUAGCUCUGUGACCUUGGGAAAGACUUGAAAUAUCUCUGAACAGAGUCAUAUUUGAUCUUUUAACAUUGGAGCAUUGUAGAAAUUCAACCAAGCUAUUUACCAACUGUAAAGCUCUACAGCAUGACAGUAGGCAUGUACUUGUCCUCCCAGGCCCAUUUCACUGCUUUGGAAAUGACAUUUCGCCUGCAUCUGUUACACACUGCUCCAUAACAAACCAUCCUGUAAUUUGGGGACAUCCCACUUCACCACGGAAAGACAAAGAACCAACCACUUAACUGGAGACAAAGACAAAGCAAAAAGACAAAGACAAAGCCACUUGACUGGAGACCUGGACCUCCCUGCUGCCCACAACUAGCUAGAUCCCAGGGGUCCUGGACAUUCCCCAGGCUCUGCACCAGCAGUGGUUAGUGGCUGGAGCUGCAGAGGAUUGUCCCAGGCCUGGGCAGGGGCUACAUGACUUGAAUCAGCAUCAAGGUAGGAUGUCUCCAGGUCUUUUCCUCAGUUGACCCAGGUGGAGCAGAAGUGAAAGAGAGAGGCAAGAGGCUUAAAAGCGGUCAACAGUAAAACAUCAAAACAUGGAGCAGACUCUGGAUUACAUUCUUUUAAUUUAAUGUAGAAAAAUGCAUGCACAGUAAGUACAGAAACCCCAAGCAUACAGCAUGUGAGUUUUAAAAUAUGUAUAGACCCAUGUACAUAUAAUCUCGAAGAGACAUAGUGUUAGAGUCUGUAAACA